AACAGAAUAGAAUUUGAAACGGAACAGGGGAGAAAGAAAGAAAGAAAAAGUAAAGAAGAAAUUAGGGUUUUUAAGGUUCAAUUUCAAAUUGGUAAGUCAAAUUAAGUCAUUUUCUUGAAAUUUUUGAGUUUUUAUGAUUCUAGAACAAAAUACUAUUAGGUAUAUGUUGAAAUUUUGAAAGUUAGUAGAAUUUUUUAUGCAGUUUAUAUUGAAUUAGUGGAUGAAUUAGAGAUUGAGUUGAUGGAAAUUCAAACUAGGAUUGGGAAAAUGAUUAAAUUGAGAAAUAAGUUAUAAGUUUAAUGUAAAAUUGUAAGAAAUUCGAAAUUUAGGUUUAUUAGUGAAAAUUUGAGAGUUAAGUCAAGUUGUAAGUAGAAUUAAGUAAAAAUAAGGUAUAGAUUGUGAUAGAAAUAGAAAUAAUUUUAGUUAUGAAUUAAAUUGAAAUGUUAGCUAAGGUAAGAAAUUAUGAAAUUAUUAUAUCAUAUAUGUUUAUUUUUAUUAAAUAAUAUAGGAAAGUUAUUUGAUUGUUUUUCUAAUAUAUAUAAAUAUUAUGUGUUUUAUAUGAAAUUGAAGAGAAAGAAAGGAAAGGAAAGGAUCUAAUUGAAGAAAACGGAAAAGAGAAGGCUAAGGAGUGAAGGAAGACAUCAUCUCAACCUUUUUGUUGUAAGUACUACAAGAUAAUUUUACUUUAAAAUUUUUAUUUAAAUGCUUAUAUUAUAGUAUAGAAUUAUUUAGAAAUAAAAAUAAUAAAGUAAAAUAAAAGAUUAUGGAAUUAUGAAAUUUGUAAAGAAAAUUAUAGGUGGAAAGUAUAAGGUGGUAUAUUGUUUGAACAUUAAGUAAAUGUUGUGACAAAAGUAUAUAUAUGUGAAAAUGGUGUGAAAAUUGUGAAUUGUGAAAUAAGCACUAAAUUGUUAUGAUGGAGAAAUGAGAAGUCUUUUUCGAAAUAAUUCUAUAAAGUAUUUAAAUGAAUGAAAUUCAGUUCUAAUGCCCAAGUAGAUGGAUUUUUAGAACUACCAGGAUAUUAGUGGCAUGCCAUUAAGGAACUUUAGCGCGCUCUCUGAUUAUUAGCACGUUGGUGCUCUCUGAUUAUUAGCACGUCAGUGCUCUCUGAUUACUAGCACGUCAGUGCUCUCUGUUUAGCACAUCUGUGCUCUCUGUAUAGCACUUUACUGCUCUCUGUUCAUUAGUGCAUAAUAAUGCACCUCUGUAUUUGUUCCGUAUAUCCAGUGCGUUCUAUAUAAAUCUACUUUGGGCUAAGAUUAUGUUUUGUGGAUAAAAGCAAAUCAUUAAUAUGCUAAGGUAAGUUUUAUGAAGCUUAUACGUACGUAAAUACGUAAUAACAGAAUGAGUUUGAAAUAUUUUAUUUAGAUUUAUUUAUCUGUUUAUUCUUGUAGUGCUUACUAAGCCUUCAUCGGCUUAACGCGUUUAAUUUUAACGCGUAGGUACAGUUUGACUCGAAGAGGUAAAGUCAGUAUAGAAGAUUUCUCAUCUCAUCACAUCCUCAAAAGCUUCAAAAGUAGGUACCAUAUUUUAAAUUAAAAUGGCAUGUACAUAGA
Molecule: long non-coding RNA, 1553 nt
Filed under: Gossypium barbadense (sea-island cotton)
Lineage: Eukaryota; Viridiplantae; Streptophyta; Magnoliopsida; Malvales; Malvaceae
Description: long non-coding RNA (GBAR_LNC015806)
Source: RNAcentral